This 3177-nucleotide long non-coding RNA is filed under the name Taeniopygia guttata (zebra finch). Its description in RNAcentral is "lncRNA (ENSTGUG00000027494.1)". Lineage: Eukaryota; Metazoa; Chordata; Aves; Passeriformes; Estrildidae. The record is from RNAcentral.
UUAACUUACACCAUUUAUUCAAGCAAACAUUCAGCUGUACCUUAAAUAACUGGCAAGUAUGGGGGAUGGGAGCAUUACUGUAAAAUACAGAAAUAAGCUGAAUCUCUGUACAUGAGACUCACUCGGCAGCUCCCUUUUCCUCCUCGAAAAAAGGUUACAACUUGUUUGUCAGCUGUGGACAUCUUCAGACAGAUAAAAACCUAUGGAGUGGGUUCAAAGAAAUGCUGGCUAAUAUGCCCAGACUGGCUGCUUAAUGAGCCAGAGUAAAAGAAAAGGUCACAUGGUUACAAAAAACCUCCAUACAACAAACACCCUGUAGCUAUGGUUAACUUUAAUUAACUGCAGUAUUACAAUUCACUUCAAGUUUAUUUUCCACCAAUGUUUACUGCACCUUACCUUUCCUUUGCCUGCUAAAAAUCAAACUGAUUAGUCUCAUAAGUGGGCUUAUGUUUCAAAAAGGAAGAUCUUUUCAAAAAUGAUCUGAAAUUUUAAAAAUCCACCAGAUGGGUCCCUUUCUAGCUAUAACUACUGAUGAAUGAUUUCAAGAUUACAGGAGUGGUUCUGUUUAUAUAAAUCAGGGUAUUCAGACUUCUGUGAUACAAUUAAAUAUUGAAUAGCCAGUAGUAGUUCUCUUUUAAUAGCAGUUGCAAUUCACAUAUUAAUAUUACUUCUGCUUAAGUUUAAAGUUGAAUUUCAACCAUGUGUACAAUUUUUUUCUCUGCCAGUCAUGAGCUUACAAUGUUAAUCUCCCUAUCUCAUGAUUUUAAAAUAAACUGCUGUGAGAAUUGCAUGCUUAGAAAUAACUGAAAAUAGGAUCAGUACAAAUCUCUAUUCUAAAAAACAUGUAAGUUGUAUCCAACAAUUAACUCAAAACAUUCCUUUUCUGCAUUAUUUCUUUGAUCCAUUACAUAAGAACAAUAUGCUUGGAGAUUUUUAAGCACUGAUAUAUCACUUGUCAGAAAAAAAUUAUAUAUAUACACACACAGAGUCAUUGUCUGAAAUCACAGAUAUAGUGAUGCCAAAUACUAAAUCUCAGAACAUAACAAACCCCACCCCCUCCCCACACACACAUGAAACAGCCAGAGUGUAUCUAUACAAGACUGCAAAGAUCUGUAGGCACACUAAGCACAUAGUCUCAAGGCUUCUACCAUCCUUCCCACCAGGAAUACAAAUCAAGUAUGUAUUAAGACCAAGCAGAUACCAAAUGCCAUCCAGACUUUCUUUUAUACAACUAUGGGGCUUUGGUGGGUGGGGAUCCCUACUAUUGAAUAAAACUAAGAGCUCAUACCCUAUGAUACUGUUGCAUUUGGAACAGCUCUAUAUUCUGCUGAUCAAACUGCAAAGGAUUUCUGCAGUGCUGCUGAGUUUUUUUUCAGGUUUUCCCCUUUCCUCCAUUUGCCUCACUGAAAAGGACAAAGUUCACGUUAGGUUUGUUUGCAUUUUCUAGCUAGCAUGAGGCCUGUGUAUUUACUUUGCCUGUUGAUCACUUAACAGGUACUACACUGCUCCCCUAUCUCCAGAAAAUGCCAAUGUCACACAGAAUUGUAAAUUAUACAAAGAAUCACAUAUAAUCAUUGCCAAAAAGAAAGCAUUCACUUCAGUUCUUAAAGGAAGCUUCCUUGCCUGAAAACACAAUAAGGCCCCUGAACUGCUCAUCAAUUCAAGUUAUGAAAAGCCAAUGCCUAAAUGGGGUAGCAACCCACCAGCUGCAACACUAACUGUAGAAGCUGUUAUUUCAUGCUACCCUUUUCUGUACCCAGUUCAGCUACAGUCCUGCCUUACCAUGAGUUUGUGGCUAAUGUCUAACUCUGACAAGCACUCUUAAAAUCAACUAAAAUUAUUAACUAUGGAAUGCUGGGUUGUUUGUUGGGUUUUGGGGUUUUUUUUGUGAAAAGAAGGCUUCAUUUUAAAUCUCAAGCCUUAAUAAAUUGCACAGACAAUGUAUUCAUCCUGUAUUGCAAACAGCUUGCAGCUGGAGAGCUACUGGAGGGGAGGAGAAGGGAGGAGGAAAUGAGAUGCAGGAACAGUAAAUAGAAAAUGCUUAGUCAGCAACCGUUACUGCAACAUUAAAGGUGAAAUGUAAAUAGGCACGGUGCCAAGAUUUAAGUAAGUUUGAUAACACCAUCGUCAUCUUACUACAUAUAAGUGAAAAUGUGCAUACAAGUGCCACAAUUAUCACAACGAACUGCAGACUCUUGGUAUAAUGGAGACCUUUAAAAAGCCAACACGGCUUGUGCAUACUGCCUAAGCUUAGGGAAAAAUAAAACUUGCUACUCAAGAAGUAUUAAUAUCAAUUGAAUUUAUUACAAUUUACUAAGCUCCAAGGCACAUUACAGUGUUCUGUUAACUACAGAAAUGUAUAAAGGACAAACAGAGCAUGUUUCUCAUGUACAGCAUUUUGCUCUACUGUUCAAAAGCAUCCGUGCAUCAAUAAAAGCAAAAACAAAAAACACAUGAAGAUUAAAAAACGUUCAGAUCAAUAGAAACAAAAUGAAACAUUUUCCUUACAAACUUGCAACAAAAAAACACCCUCCCCCCACAGCCACCCCACCGUUUUGCAACAAAAAAAAAACCAAAAACGAAAAAAAAAAAAGGUGAAAGACUAACACUCAGGGCUUGUAAAACAUAAGCUGUCACCAUUUUUGUAGCAAUUUUUUAGGCAUCAACACUGGCCUUGGCAAAAAAAAAUUUUUUUUUUUGUCUUUUGUGUUUUUCUUCUUCUUUCAGAGAAGUGCAUACAUUUACAAAAAUACACACCAGCAGCAGGUAAUCGCUAAGGGCUAUUAACUGUGUACCUAGCCAACACACUGCCAAAGAAAUGAGAACAGGUAUUAUGUAGUAACCAAACAAUAUUAUAUUCUGUUUAACAAAAACCAGCUCUAUCCUUCAAAUGAAGAAGAGUACAUACCUUUGUUUCAAAAUAUAGAAACAUACGACGAAAAUAAUGUCUAUACAUAAGACUAACUUUUGCAGUUUGUUAUAUUCACAAUUCUACAUCUUCAGGAGUCUGAAGGGAUUGGAUUUCUUACUCAAGGGUCUCUCUCCUUUUUCACUUUAACGUCCCCAGCUAAAAUGGUCGCGAUCUCGCCCUGCAUAAAUGCCCAAGGCACAUUGGAACCGACUAGGGGGCAUUUCUCUCCACUGGGGCAGUAGACUUCACCAGUCGCCCCUUGGGCC